Podarcis lilfordi (Lilford's wall lizard) is the source of this 4334-nucleotide non-coding RNA. The record is from the annotation of a GenBank genome assembly. NCBI's taxonomy places the organism in Eukaryota, Metazoa, Chordata, Lepidosauria, Squamata, Lacertidae.
GAAGGAAGGAGCCGGACAGAAAGAAGCGCGUCUUAAGGACUGGGAAGAGGAGGAGGAGGAGGAGAGUCUCUUUCCAUGCCAGAGAUCGGGAGGGAAGGAACUGGAAGGGAAACGGCCAGUUCAGAGGACCUGCGAAGCUGCGCGUAGGGUUCUGGUCGCCUCGCCUCGGAAAAGAUAUUGUAGGGCUGGGGAAAGAUUUAGGGAAAAAAGGACACCCGAGAUGAUCCAGCGGGGGUGGGAGGGAGGGACUCCCCUACGAGGAAAAGUUGCAGCGUUGUGGACUUUAGUGGUUCCCAACCUUUUUUCGGCCUUGCCCCACCUAAGCAUCUCUAAAAUCCUGAUGCCUCCCCACCCCGUGACAAUUAAUUCUUAUUAUUCAAAAAGUGAACUCCUAUUCACGUGGAGGAAGCCUAAAAGGCCAUUAACUUGGUCUAAACAAGCUUCCAAGUUGCCCCCCUUAAAAAUCAAAUUGCCCCCCCGUAUUUUUUUUAAAUAUAGGUAUGUGCGGGUUUUGUUUAUUUCAGGGUGGUUUGUUUGUUUGUUUGUUUGUUGUUGUUAAAUGACUUUGAGUCGCCUUUGGCAAGAGAAAGCAACCCAUAAAGUCAGUAAAUAAUAAUGCAUUUAAAAGGUGAUGCUACUGACUAAUAUCAAGAUGAAGGUCUAUCAGGCACACUGCUUUAUGGAAGUGAAUGAUGGGCAACUUAAAUACCCUCCGAGAGCCACACCUCAACGCCUGCCACACCUCAACGCCUGUCACGUGCACUGCGUCAGGAAGCUUUUGGGCAUUGCGUGGCAGGGCAGAGUCUCACUGAAAGAUGAGCUCUUGCAAGCCCACGUUAUGUUUGCACUCCUGUCUGCGCUGGCUUGGUCAGGUCCACAAAAUGGAGGGUCCCCAAGGACGUGCUCCACGGGGAGCUGGCUUCAAGCACCAGGCCUGAUGGCAGAUGAACUCUGUGUUACAAAGAUGCCUGCAAAUGUGACGCGAAGGCUGGCAACAUUAAUCCCACUCUGUGGGAAUCCCUUGCAGAUUAUCACAGUGGCUGGAGACAGGUCGUCUGGCCACAGCAGUGACCAGAGGAGGGAUGACCGCUGGGAGGAGAGCAGAAAGAAUAAAUGCCAUGGUACACCUACGUCAACACAACCGGAAGCCUUCAUCUGCCCCAGCUGCAACAAAACAUGUCUCUCCCAUAUCAAUCUCUACAGCCUUAGUAGGCACUGGAUGGUUUGACGUCACUCCCAAAGGUACAUUCUUCCAUUUUCUCCUGAGACAGAUGGAUGCCAACUAGACAUUUAUAAAAUUAUGCAUGGCAUGAAGAAAGUGGCUAGGAAAAGUUUUUCUCUUUCUCUCCUAACACUGGAACUCAUAGACAUCCAAUGAAGCUGAAUGCUGGAAGAUUCAAGACAAAUAAAAUAAUUGGAGACAUGAUUGGAGACAGUGAUUAUUCUGAAUAUCAGUUGCUGGUAUUCCAUGAAGGCAUGUCUCCCUCCUUUUUACUCAUGACUUCGCACCCCACACCUUUCACUCAUGGGUUCACACUUGUAACUAAUCCCAUAAAUUGGUACACCUUUCAGUUAUAGGUUGGGUUUUUUGUGUGUGUGUGUGUUCAGUAUUUUGUAUGCAAGGUUCUGCCACAACCAUAUAUGAUGCCAGUUUAAUGUAGAACUUCUUAACCCGAAGCACCACUUUAGCUAAUGGGGCCUUCUGCUGCUGCCGCGCCACCGGAGCACAAUUUCUGUUCUCAUCCUGAAGCGAAGUUCUUAACCUGAAGCAAUAUUUCUGGGUUAGCGGAGUCUGUAACCUGAAGCGUAUGUAACCCGAGGUACCACUGUAAUGUACAUUUUGAGUAGAAGGGAGGGGGUAAGAGUAACAAUGCAACAGAGGGACAGAAGAAAUAAAAGAAGUGAAAGUGGAAAGACCUAGGCUUUUCUUCAGUUGAGGAUGUAGACAAGCCAAAUGCAGUCAAGGAAGGCAGAGAGCUGGUGAGGGGUGGUGCCUAUGGAGAGUCACAAGAACUGACUAGAGAGGGAUGGAGGACUGAAUCUGGCCCCUGGUCCUAAUGUCCUCAACCUCUUUUGUGCAGGAUAUCAAGUGAAUUGUUACUACUACAGUUAUGAUGAUGAUGAUGAAUAAUUACCCUCUCCCUUGCUAUGGGGAUUGGCUUCCAAUCAUGUACUGGCACCUGGUUGUCCUUUGCCAUUGAUGAUGAUUGGACUUUUGGGCUCAAUUUCUGUCAUUUUAAGCAACAAGAUGGCAACAAAAACGGACAAAACAAAGCUAGAACAAUACUUGCCAGUGUAGUAAUCAGUAUUCUUUGCACAGAAAUAGUUUUUCAGAAUCUUUGGAUUCUUGAGGGUUUUCCUAAUCCAUCAGUCCCCCUACCCCCCAUAUAAAAACAACAACGUCAAUGAGAAAAUUGCCGGAAAGUGAGAAGCUGCCAAGGUUUGGUCACUGGGGGCCCAUCAAUGAAAAAUGCUCUAAAAGAGAUUAGUGUAAUCUCUUGAGAUAAUACCACAAGGUUAUAACCUUCUGGAAUUGGACUUGAUGAACAGUAAAGCUUCUCCCAGUUCUUUUGAGAUAAUAACCAUUACUUAGACAGAAAAAUGACUGAGCACCUUAAUGCUUUAUUCAAUUAUCUCGAUGAUGAGUGUAAAAAGAUUGCUUUCCCCUUGAUGUGUUUUUCAAAUUGCAAUUUGAGUGGCCUUUGAACAAACUAGAAUUGAGAGAACACCUCCAUAUAAAUAAUAGCCAAUCAAUGCAGACAGGUUUAUAGAUUGAUAUAUGUCUUUAGUAUUCACUUCAGAGUGAAGAGGAGAAUAUUUCAAUUUCAGUUCAAAGUGGUUUCUAAUAGAUCAUGCUCUGCUUGUAAUGUCAAGCCUUUUCAGGUAUAUAGGAUUUGGGGGAGCACAGCAGAAGUGAAGCAAGAUAUGUAGGGAGAAAGGGCACUAGUUAAGCAAGUACAGUGUUCAAAUUAAUUUCCAGUUCAUCCUGGUGAAGCCAAUAUUCAAGUCUGAAUUCCACACACAAAUUGUUUCCUCUGUAAUUAGCUGUUUGACACAGAGUAUCUUCUAGUUUCUCUUGAGUGAUGCUUGGGAUUUGGUGGUACCAAGAAGCGCUAAUUGCUUUACUUCCACAUAACAGUAGAUUGCUAAAUCCAUUGGUAUGAUCUUCCUCUUUUGUAAAAUAAUAGCUGUUAAAGUUAAAUAAUAGUUGUUAAAGGCCACCUCAUGAGAAGAGAAGACUCCCUGGAAAAGACCCUGAUGUUGGGAAAGAUGGAGGGCACAAGGAGAAGGGGACGACAGAGGACGAGAUGGUUGGAUAGUGUUCUCGAAGCUACCAGCAUGAGUUUGACCAAACUGCGGGAGGCAGUGGAAGACAGAAGUGCCUGGCGUGCUCUGGUCCAUGGGGUCACGAAGAGUUGAACACGACUAAACGACUAAACAACAACAAAGCUGUUAAAGUAGAUUAGCCAUCAUUCAUAGAUUUGAGUUGGGGUGUGUGUGACAUUUAUCUCAUUCAAGACAUCUUUCUUCCCCCAAGUCUCUCAAGUUCCAAUAAAAAGACAGAGAUAUUCCCGCUGCCCCAUCCAUACAGUGUCUAUUUUCCAAAAGGCACAACAACUCCAUGCUAUGGUUUGUGUGCAUGAGAGGAGCAGUUGCACCUACAGAUUACUGAGCUGUUACUAUAUGCUAGAGAUGUUCAUUGGCUCUGUAUGUGGUCUAAAUACCCUGGCUAUUGACACUUGAACCACCUUGCUUUUGUGAUUGUAAGUUGUUUUGAACACUUCAGUUCAAAUAUAUUGUUUUCUAGAGAGGGUGGGGCAGGGGGACAGGUUACAACUGUGAAGAACCAUAUAUAGAAAAUUGCUAUUGGACCAAAACACUUGAUUAUUUGAAAAACAGGAUUUUGCUAUUGGUAUGUGUGAGAUGGGUAGGUAUUUGUACCCCUGGCCAUAUGGCACUGUGGCAACUCAAUAAUCUUUGUCCAUUGUCUUUUACAUGGUAAUUUCCUUCACACACAGCCUCACAAAAUGUCAUUAUAAUACAGUACCUAUCUAAUUAUGCUGUAGUAUAAUGGUAUUUUGUAAGGCUGUUCGAUAAGCUUUGAGUUUACAUUCAAAGCAAGUCGAUUUCUAAUUCUGGCAUUGAUAAUCUACGGGACAGUGGAGACUAGCUGGAAUGUUAGGAUAAUGGACCAACAGGUUAAAUACACCACAGAACGCCCUGUCACUUCUUUUUGAAAACUAAUAUGCAUUUGCAGUGUGUUUGUAUGAUAGUUCUACCAAGCCUACAUGUUGCGAAAGCAACCUAAACAUUGAUUUGUUCAAAUAAAUACA